AGGAUUAUAGUUUUACAAAAACAUUUAACUUGCAAUUAAAAAAUAUUGAAUUUUUCAAUUUAUCUUA
This 67-nucleotide transfer RNA is filed under the name Cataclysta lemnata. RNAcentral's name for it is "tRNA-Ala". The record is from RNAcentral. Lineage: Eukaryota; Metazoa; Arthropoda; Insecta; Lepidoptera; Crambidae.